This is a small nuclear RNA of Pteronotus mesoamericanus, 106 nucleotides long. Lineage: Eukaryota; Metazoa; Chordata; Mammalia; Chiroptera; Mormoopidae. The record is from RefSeq and is a predicted model, not a curated record.
GCACUCGCUUCAGCAGUACACAUACUAACAUCGGGACAAUGCAGAGAAGAUUAGUACGGCCCUGUGCAAAGAUAACAUUCCAAUUCAGGAAGCGUCCCAUAUUUUU